This 274-nucleotide ribosomal RNA is filed under the name uncultured bacterium. RNAcentral describes it as "partial 16S ribosomal RNA". It matches the Rfam family "Bacterial small subunit ribosomal RNA", at positions 523 to 796 of the family's 1533-position model. The record is from RNAcentral.
AUACGGGGGGUGCAAGCGUUAAUCGGAAUUACUGGGCGUAAAGCGCGCGUAGGCGGUUUGCUCAGUCGGAUGUGAAAGCUCAGGGCUCAACCUUGGAACUGCAUACGAUACUGGCAAACUAGAGUGUGAGAGAGGAUAGUGGAAUUUCCGGUGUAGCGGUGAAAUGCGUAGAUAUCGGAAGGAACAUCAGUGGCGAAGGCGACUGUCUGGCUCAACACUGACGCUGAGGUGCGAAAGCGUGGGUAGCAAACAGGAUUAGAAACCCUUGUAGUCC